UUUUAGUCUAUUCAGAGGAAUUUGCCCUAUAAUCGAUAAUCCUCGUUUUAUCUUACUUUUAUUUGUUGUUCAGUUUGUAUACCGCCGUUAUAAGUUUAUUUUUAUAGGAGUUUUUAAUUUACUUAAAAUAUUAUUUUAUUUUAUUUCAGGUCAAGGUGCAGUUAAUAUAAAAGUUGAGGUGAAUUACAAUAUUAUCUGUGUAAAUGGAUUUUUUUAUUUAAAAUUUAAUUGAAGGUGGAUUUGAUAGUAAAGUUGUUUAUAAUCAUUAUUUGAUUUUAGCUCUAAAAUAAGUACACAUCGCCCGUCGCUCUA
This 312-nucleotide ribosomal RNA is filed under the name Cnipsomorpha sp. RNAcentral describes it as "partial small subunit ribosomal RNA". The record is from RNAcentral. Lineage: Eukaryota; Metazoa; Arthropoda; Insecta; Phasmatodea; Phasmatidae.